CGUAGAUCAUGAAACAACAACAUAUAAAAAGGCUGUUCUGUCGUUUAUAACGUACACACUUUCUAGAAGAAAUUAAGAAGCACCAUAUUUAUAUUAAAACAUGAAUACCGGAUUCGCUGUUAUCGUUGCUUUGUGCUGCUUUGCGAUUGUUCUAUCCGCAAGAACACGCAGAACAACAACACGCAGAACAACAACGGAGUCGCCUAUCCAUCCACCGUGCAGACAUGACAUAGACUGUUGGCCAGUAGUAUGCACUAAGUACGGUGAGGUCCCUGAGUGCCACAGAGCCGCUUCGUCCCCCACGGGCGCCGAGUGCCAUUGCCAUGUACCGGACGAGUGCUGGGUUAACGCAGACUGCGUGCGGGAGUGCGGUCCACACGCCACGUGCGACGACGGGGCAUGCCAUGGAGACUGCAUACACGAUUAAACGAUGUUACCACGCAUUCACUCUGCAUUAUAAUAUUGUUUGAAGACACAUUUUUCCGCCAAUGUUAAUGUUAUAUUUGUCUUUCCAAUAAUUAAAAUCGUGUAGAAUUGAUA
Long non-coding RNA from Dreissena polymorpha, 540 nucleotides. RefSeq lists it as uncharacterized. The record is from RefSeq and is a predicted model, not a curated record. The transcript has 2 exons. Lineage: Eukaryota; Metazoa; Mollusca; Bivalvia; Myida; Dreissenidae.